This 604-nucleotide ribosomal RNA is filed under the name Klebsiella pneumoniae. RNAcentral describes it as "bacterial SSU rRNA". It matches the Rfam family "Bacterial small subunit ribosomal RNA", at positions 1 to 592 of the family's 1533-position model. The record is from RNAcentral. Lineage: Bacteria; Pseudomonadati; Pseudomonadota; Gammaproteobacteria; Enterobacterales; Enterobacteriaceae.
ACUUAAAUUGAAGAGUUUGAUCAUGGCUCAGAUUGAACGCUGGCGGCAGGCCUAACACAUGCAAGUCGAGCGGUAGCACAGAGAGCUUGCUCUCGGGUGACGAGCGGCGGACGGGUGAGUAAUGUCUGGGAAACUGCCUGAUGGAGGGGGAUAACUACUGGAAACGGUAGCUAAUACCGCAUAACGUCGCAAGACCAAAGUGGGGGACCUUCGGGCCUCAUGCCAUCAGAUGUGCCCAGAUGGGAUUAGCUAGUAGGUGGGGUAACGGCUCACCUAGGCGACGAUCCCUAGCUGGUCUGAGAGGAUGACCAGCCACACUGGAACUGAGACACGGUCCAGACUCCUACGGGAGGCAGCAGUGGGGAAUAUUGCACAAUGGGCGCAAGCCUGAUGCAGCCAUGCCGCGUGUGUGAAGAAGGCCUUCGGGUUGUAAAGCACUUUCAGCGGGGAGGAAGGCGGUGAGGUUAAUAACCUUGGCGAUUGACGUUACCCGCAGAAGAAGCACCGGCUAACUCCGUGCCAGCAGCCGCGGUAAUACGGAGGGUGCAAGCGUUAAUCGGAAUUACUGGGCGUAAAGCGCACGCAGGCGGUCUGUCAAGUCGGA